GUGAAUCAUCGAAUUUUUGAACGCAAAUUGCACUCUCUUGUAUGCCGGUGAGUAUUCUUGCGUUAGGUUUAGUUUAUUACAAAUCGUAGAUAUAAAUUUUUACGGAUCGUGGUUUUCCAAAAGUUAUUUUUUUGUUAUUCUAAAAUUUAUUAUUACAAUAUUUUAUAUUGUAAAUUUUUAUCUUUUAUUCAUUAACAAUUAUUACCAAAUUUGUUACGUCUUUUUAUUUUCCUAAUUUCUUAAUUGGUUAAAGUUAUUCAAUUUUUAAUUCUUACCUCCAGUCAAGUAAGAAUACCCG
Molecule: unclassified non-coding RNA, 298 nt
Filed under: Acaulospora lacunosa
Lineage: Eukaryota; Fungi; Glomeromycota; Glomeromycetes; Diversisporales; Acaulosporaceae
Description: partial internal transcribed spacer 2
Rfam family: 5.8S ribosomal RNA (bases 1-71)
Source: RNAcentral